This 301-nucleotide ribosomal RNA is filed under the name uncultured bacterium. Its description in RNAcentral is "partial 16S ribosomal RNA". It matches the Rfam family "Bacterial small subunit ribosomal RNA", at positions 509 to 808 of the family's 1533-position model. The record is from RNAcentral.
CAGCCGCCGCGGUAAUACGGAGGGGCUAGCGUUGUUCGGAAUUACUGGGCGUAAAGCGCACGUAGGCGGCUUGGUAAGUUAGAGGUGAAAGCCUGGAGCUCAACUCCAGAAUUGCCUUUAAGACUGCCGAGCUAGCAGGUGAGAGAGGUAAGUGGAAUUCCGAGUGUAGAGGUGAAAUUCGUAGAUAUUCGGAAGAACACCAGUGGCGAAGGCGGCUUACUGGCUCAUUCUAGACGCUGAGGUGCGAAAGCGUGGGGAGCAAACAGGAUUAGAUACCCCGGUAGUCCCUGUCUCUUAUACC